This 29-nucleotide non-coding RNA is filed under the name Mus musculus (house mouse). The record is from RNAcentral. Lineage: Eukaryota; Metazoa; Chordata; Mammalia; Rodentia; Muridae.
UAGUCCCUGUUGGUUUUUCUCCAAAGUUC